This 320-nucleotide small RNA is filed under the name Arabidopsis thaliana (thale cress). RNAcentral's name for it is "ATSL085130". Lineage: Eukaryota; Viridiplantae; Streptophyta; Magnoliopsida; Brassicales; Brassicaceae. The record is from RNAcentral.
UUUUUUAAUUUUUUUUUUUGUUUUUUCUAUGACUUAGAUGAUAUGCAGACUCAAAUGAUAUUCACAAAAAUAAUUCAAAUACAUCUUGAACCCUCCCCCAAACUUAAAUUACACAGUCCCUUGUGUAAUCAAAAUUUGUGAAAGAAUUCAAGAUAAACACAAAAGCAAAAACAAAAGCGAUAUUUACAAAGGGUUUUGGUGUGUUACCUCAAUAGAAUGUCCUGGAGAUGUAGUCAUCCAUAUCUGUUUGAGUGUACUCCGCAGACAUGACCGGUUCUCGAUGUUGCUCCGCCAUCUCCUCGUCAUUGUGCUUGAUCGCA